Molecule: ribosomal RNA, 257 nt
Filed under: uncultured bacterium
Lineage: Bacteria
Description: partial 16S ribosomal RNA
Rfam family: Bacterial small subunit ribosomal RNA
Source: RNAcentral
GCGGUAAUACAGAGGGUGCGAGCGUUAAUCGGAAUUACUGGGCGUAAAGGGCGCGUAGGCGGAUCGUUAAGUCAGAGGUGAAAGCCCGGGGCUCAACCCCGGAACUGCCUUUAAGACUGCAUCGCUUGAAUCCAGGAGAGGUGAGUGGAAUUCCGAGUGUAGAGGUGAAAUUCGUAGAUAUUCGGAAGAACACCAGUGGCGAAGGCGGCUCACUGGCCUGGUAUUGACGCUGAGGUGCGAAAGCGUGGGGAGCAAAC